RNAcentral lists this ribosomal RNA (1463 nucleotides) under uncultured Bordetella sp. RNAcentral describes it as "partial 16S-23S ribosomal RNA intergenic spacer". It matches the Rfam family "Bacterial small subunit ribosomal RNA". Lineage: Bacteria; Pseudomonadati; Pseudomonadota; Betaproteobacteria; Burkholderiales; Alcaligenaceae. The record is from RNAcentral.
GGUUCGAUCCUGCUCAGGAUUGAACGCUGGCGGAUGUUUUUAUACAUAAGUCAACGUGCAUGACUUGUCUGGUGGCGAGGGCGAACGGGUGAGUAAUGUAUCGGAACGUGUGCCUAGUAGCGGGGGAUAACUACGCGAAAGGAAGCAUUACCGCAUAAUACCCUUCGGGGAAAGCGGGGGGACCUUCGGGCCUUCGCACUAUUAGAGCGGCCGAUAUCGGAUUAGCUAGUUGGUGGGGCAACGGCUCACCGCUGACGAUCCGCAGCUGUUUGAGAGGACGACCAGCCACAUCGGGAUUCAGAGACACGGCCCAGACUCCUACGGAGGCAGCAGUGGGGAAUUUUGGACAAUGGGGGAAACCCUGAUCCAGCCAUCCGCGUGCGAUGAAGCGCUCUCGGGUUGUAAAGCACUUUUGGCAGGAAAGAAACGGCAUCGGGAUAAUACCCUGUGCAACUGACGGUACCUGCAGAAUAAGCACCGGCUAACUACGUGCCAGCAGCCGCGGUAAUAAUGUAGGUGCAAGCGUUAAUCGGAAUUACUGGGCGUAAAGCGUGCGCAGGUUCGGAAAGAAAGAUGUGAAAUCCCAGAGCUUUGACCGAACGAGCUUAACGCACUGAGUUGGGAGUGCAAGCCGAGGGAGGUGUAAUUCGCGUGUAGCAGUGAAAUGCGAUAUGUGGAGAACACCGAUAUAGCGCAGCUCUGGGAUAACACUGACGCUCAGCACGAAAGCGUGGGGAGCAAACAGGAUUAGAUACCCUGGUAGUCCACGCCCUAAACGAUGUCAACGCUAGCUGUUGGGGCCUUCGGGCCUUGGUAGCGCAGCUAACGCGUGAAGUUGACCGGGCCUGGGGAGUACGGUCGCAAGAUUAAAACUCAAAGGAAUUGACGGGGACCCGCACAAGCGGUGGAUGAUGUGGAUUAAUUCGAUGCGCCCGCGAAAAACCUUACCUACUCUGACAUGUCUGGAAUCCCGAAGAGAUUUGGGGAGUGCUCGCAAGAGAACCGGAACACAGGUGCUGCAUGGCUGUCGUCAGCUCGUGUCGAGAUGCUGGGUUAAGUCCCGCAACGAGCGCAACCCUUGUCAUUAGUUGGCUACGAAAGGAAAUUCCUGUAAUGAGACUGCCGGUGACAAACCGAGGAAGGUGGGGAUGACGUCAAGUCCCUCAUGGCCCUUAUGCGGUAGGGCUUCACACGUCAUACAAUGGUCGGGAUGUAGGUCGCCAACCUGCGAGGGGAGCCAAUCCCAGAAACCCGAUCGUAGUCCGGAUCGCAGUCUGCAACUCGACUGCGUGAAGUCGGAAUCGCUAGUAAUCGCGGAUCAGCAUGUCGCGGUGAAUACGUUCCCGGGUCUUGUACACACCGCCCGUCACACCAUGGGAGUGGGUUUUACCAGAAGUAGUUAGCCUAACCGUAAGGAGGCGAUUACCACGGUAGAUUCAUAUCGCGAAGUCGUAACAAGGUAG